UAAUCAAAUAGAGAUAAAUCCAUCCGUUCAGAGCCGACACAAUGGGAGACGGACAGCAAGUGGAGCGCUCAAGCUCCGUAGACCCCAUAGUGUGGCCGAGAGUGGGGCAAGGACAAAGGGAAGGAGAAGAUCUGUCCAGCGAGCUUGCCCGGCACACACGAGACACCAGAGAUCGAAGGGGAAUCAGGUAACUGGGAUGGAUCGGGAAUCCUGGAGACAGUAGCACAAUGACACAGAGGUUAGGUUUUAAAAAGUACGUAUACGUUACGUCGCGGAGCUCUUCGGAUAUGAGGCAGGCUGGGGAUGGAACCAUGAGGUCUGUUUCUGUUGGAGGCUUGACGGUGAACUGAGGCUGAGGUGAGUGUUUUAUAGUGCCUUGAUGAGAUUGUUGAUGCUGACCAGGUGAGGGUGAUUAAUACUCAGGGGAACGUGAACAUUGUGGAUUGGCUGGGACCAGGCUUGCCUGGUCCCUGACAUCAAUAAUGCGAAAUGACAGUUAAAGGCAGUUCAUCAUUGAAUUCAGUGAUGUCAUCAUGCAGCUCAGUUAAGUUUAAAUAGUAUCUGUGCAAUAAUUUGCAAUCAAGUCAACGAUAUUGCUGUAAAUGAAGUGUCCCCAACUAAGCAAGCCAGAGGUGACAGCGGCAAGGAACCAAAACUCCAUCAGUGACAGAAUGGAGAAAAAACCUUGGGAGAAACCAGGCUCAGUCGGGGGGCCAGCUCUCCUCUGACCAGACAAAACCAGCAGUUCAAUUCCAGGCUGCAGCAAAGUCAGAUUGUGCAGAAGAAUCAUCUGUUUCCUGUGGUCUUGUCCCGGUGGUCGUCUGAGACAAGGUCUUUACAGGGGAUCUGUCUCUGGGGCUCUAGUUGUCCUGGUCGCCGCUGUCUUUCAAGGCUGUAGAUGUCCUUUCUAGGUGCUGAUCCACCAUCUGGUCUGGAUACGUACUGGAUCCGGGUGACUGCAGUGACCCUCUGACUUGGAUACAGACUGGAUCUGGUGGCUACGGUGACCUCGGAAUAAGAGAGAAACAUACUAAUAUUAGCAUAGAUGCCAUUCUUCUAAUGAUGUAGCAAGUACAUCAGGUGUUAUAGGAAGUUAUCCCGGUUCUGGUUUACCUAAUUAAUGCAGCCUAAGUUGACUUUGAUAUUCUAGGUAUUACCAGAGUUUUGAGAAUGCAGCGGAUGUGGAGGAAUAUUAUGUAACAAGAGCUUGUUCAAAUACUGAGGUGCUAAACCAUUCAGGGCUUUAUAAGUAAUAAGCAAGAUGGAUGUGACUGAAUCUGUAAGGUGAAUGGUACAAUGACUCACUCAAAAAGACAUGUAGAUGCUGCAUACUGAUGUAAUGAUGUAACAAACAUGGCAAAUCAGUGAACAAAUAUUUUUAUUGAAAAGGAUAAAAAGAUUUGAGUCAUUGGGACGAAUCAAAAAUUUAAUUACUAGCUGUUACUCCCUCAGACAUAGAGAAAUAAUUCAUACAAAAAUCAGUAAUUGAGACAUUAUUUAAAAUGUCUACUUUUGUGGUCCAAGAUGAACACUGAUUUCAAACAUUAGCAAUGUUAUGCAUAGUUGUGUAAACUUAUAGUUACACAUGGUUUAUAUAAAGUUUGAAAAACAUUUAAAUCUGCCAUCAUUUUUGUUGAAGUGACUUUGACCAGAUUAUAAGUCAUAUCAGAAACAUAAUUCUAAAGAAGUUAUAAUAUUUUUUUUUUCCAUUAGUAUAAUAAUUGUGCUUGCAAGAAUUAUUAUUAUUAUUAUUUUUAUUUCAUUUAUUACUUUUCUAAAUGUCUUCAAGAGGACAUACAACUAUAUAAUUAGAAUUCAGGACACCACUAAUAACCACCAAAUAAUUAUUAGCAACUAAUUAUUUAACUAAUUUCCUUAUGUUAAGUGUGGACUAGAUUAAACUCCAAGCUAAAGUAAUUUAUUUUAUAUAUAUAUAUAUAUAUAUAUAUAUAUAUAUAUAUAUAUAUAUAUAUAUAUAUAUAUUUUUUUCAAA
Molecule: long non-coding RNA, 1993 nt
Organism: Cyprinus carpio carpio
Lineage: Eukaryota; Metazoa; Chordata; Actinopteri; Cypriniformes; Cyprinidae
Source: Ensembl